This 507-nucleotide unclassified non-coding RNA is filed under the name uncultured Entrophospora. RNAcentral describes it as "SSU rRNA". It matches the Rfam family "Eukaryotic small subunit ribosomal RNA", at positions 591 to 1092 of the family's 1831-position model. The record is from RNAcentral. Lineage: Eukaryota; Fungi; Glomeromycota; Glomeromycetes; Entrophosporales; Entrophosporaceae.
CCAAUAGCGUAUAUUAAAGUUGUUGCAGUUAAAAAGCUCGUAGUUGAAUUUCGGGAUUGGCGCAUCGGUCGUGCCUCACGGGGUAUGAACUGGUGCAGUCAAUUUCUCACCUUCUGGAGAACCGCGAUGUCCUUAAUUGGAUGCCGCGGGGAACCAGGACCUUUACUUUGAAAAAAUUAGAGUGUUUAAAGAAGGCAUUUUUGCUUGAAUACAUUAGCAUGGAAUAAUAAAAUAGGACGGCAUGGUUUUAUUUUUUUGGUUUCUAGGACCACCGUAAUGAUUAAUAGGGAUAGUUGGGGGCAUUAGUAUUCAAUUGUCAGAGGUGAAAUUCUUGGAUUUAUUGAAGACUAACUACUGCGAAAGCAUUUGCCAAGGAUGUUUUCAUUAAUCAAGAACGAAAGUUAGGGGAUCGAAGACGAUCAGAUACCGUCGUAGUCUUAACCAUAAACUAUGCCGACUAGGGAUCGGAUGAUGUUAAUUUUUUAAUGACUCAUUCGGCGCCUUACG